GGAAGUGCCCGGCUUCCCGGAAGUGCCCGGCUGGCUGACAGAGAGGAGGUUUACCUGAACGCUGCAAGAAGAGGGUUGUGGUUCUGGAGUUUGGGUGACGGCUGGAGGAGAGACUCGGGGUCGAGGUGGGCGCCAGGAGGGAGCUGGGCGGCGGGAUGAUGGAGGAGGAGGAACUGGAGUUCGUGGAGGAGCUGGAAGCCGUGCUGCAGCUCACGCCUGACGUGCAGCUCGCCAUAGAGCAGGUAUUUCCAAGCCAGGAUCCUCUAGAUCGUGCAGAUUUCAAUGCAGUGGAGUAUAUCAAUACCUUAUUCCCAACAGAACAAUCUCUGGCAAACAUAGAUGAAGUCGUGAACAAAAUUAGACUGAAAAUAAGGAGACUGGAUGACAAUAUUCGAACUGUUGUAAGAGGUCAAACAAACGUGGGGCAGGAUGGCAGGCAAGCACUUGAAGAGGCCCAGAAAGCUAUUCAGCAACUCUUUGGCAAAAUCAAAGAUAUCAAAGACAAAGCAGAAAAGUCGGAGCAAAUGGUUAAGGAAAUCACCCGCGAUAUUAAGCAGCUAGAUCAUGCCAAACGCCACCUGACCACCUCAAUCACAACACUGAACCACCUGCACAUGUUAGCAGGUGGUGUGGAUUCGCUCGAAGCCAUGACCAGGCGAAGACAGUAUGGAGAAGUUGCUAACCUUCUUCAAGGUGUGAUGAAUGUUCUGGAGCAUUUCCACAAGUAUAUGGGAAUUCCACAGAUCCGGCAGCUUUCUGAAAGAGUGAAGGCUGCCCAGACUGAAUUAGGACAGCAAAUCCUGGCUGAUUUUGAAGAAGCGUUUCCUUCCCAAGGCACCAAGAGGCCAGGAGGACCCAGCAAUGUGCUACGAGAUGCAUGUCUGGUUGCUAAUAUUUUGGAUCCUAGAAUCAAACAGGAAAUCAUCAAAAAAUUUAUCAAACAGCAUCUGUCAGAAUAUCUAGUACUUUUUCAAGAAAACCAAGAUGUUGCCUGGCUGGACAAAAUCGACAGACGCUAUGCCUGGAUAAAACGCCAGCUUGUGGACUAUGAGGAGAAAUACGGCCGUAUGUUUCCACGUGAGUGGUACAUGACUGAGAGGAUUGCAGUAGAAUUUUGCCAUGUCACAAGGACAGAACUUGCCAAGAUUAUGCGUACCAGAGCUAAGGAAAUUGAAGUGAAACUGCUUCUUUUUGCUAUUCAGAGAACAACUAACUUUGAGGGAUUUCUUGCAAAACGCUUCUCCGGGUGCACCCUAACAGAUGGAACUCUGAAAAAACUUGAGUGUCCACCCCCAUCCACCAAUCCCUUUCUGGAAGAUGAGCCAGCACCAGAGAUGGAGGAACUGACAAUGGAGAAAGGAGAUUUAGAUCAACCAAAGAAGCCUAAAGCCCCAGACAAUCCAUUUCAUGGCAUUGUCUCCAAGUGUUUCGAGCCUCAUCUCUACGUGUAUAUUGAGUCCCAGGACAAAAACCUUGGAGAGCUGAUUGAUAGGUUUGUGGCCGAUUUCAAAGCCCAGGGGCCACCUAAGCCCAACACUGAAGAAGGAGGUGCUGUGCUCCCCAGCUGUGCUGAUCUCUUUGUCUACUACAAGAAGUGCAUGGUGCAGUGCUCUCAACUCAGUACUGGGGAGCCAAUGAUCGCUCUGACCACCAUUUUCCAGAAGUACCUCCGAGAAUAUGCCUGGAAAAUCCUUUCUGGCAAUCUACCCAAAACCACAAGCAGCAGUGGAGGGCUGACCAUCAGCAGCCUCCUCAAAGAAAAGGAAGGCUCAGAAGUAGCCAAGUUCACUCUAGAGGAGCUCUGCCUCAUCUGUGGCAUCCUAAGCACAGCCGAGUACUGUCUGGCUACCACCCAGCAGCUAGAAGAAAAACUCAAGGAAAAAGUUGAUGUAAGUCUGAUUGAACGAAUCAAUCUGACUGGAGAAAUGGAUACAUUUAGCACUGUCAUCUCGAGCAGCAUCCAGUUAUUGGUUCAAGAUCUGGAUGCUGCCUGUGAUCCUGCCCUUACUGCCAUGAGCAAGAUGCAGUGGCAGAAUGUGGAACACGUUGGUGACCAGAGCCCUUAUGUCACCUCUGUCAUUCUUCACAUUAAGCAGAAUGUCCCUAUCAUCCGUGACAACCUAGCUUCCACACGGAAAUACUUCACUCAAUUCUGCAUUAAGUUUGCAAACUCCUUCAUUCCCAAGUUCAUCACCCACCUCUUCAAGUGCAAGCCAAUUAGCAUGGUGGGAGCAGAACAGCUGCUGCUAGACACUCAUUCCCUAAAGAUGGUCCUGCUCGAUCUACCGUCCAUUGGCUCACAGGUGGUGAGGAAAGCACCUGCCAGUUACACUAAGAUUGUUGUGAAAGGCAUGACCCGGGCAGAAAUGAUACUCAAGGUGGUGAUGGCCCCUCAUGAACCGUUGGUGGUGUUUGUUGACAACUACAUCAAACUCCUUACAGACUGCAACACAGAAACCUUCCAGAAGAUAUUGGACAUGAAGGGGCUGAAGAGAAGUGAGCAGAGCAGCAUGCUGGAACUCUUGCGCCAGAGGCUCCCCACCCCGCCUUCAGGGCCAGAAGGCUCCAGCUCAUUGUCCCUCCUGGCUCCGACACCAGAACAGGAAUCAUCUCGCAUCCGCAAACUAGAGAAACUAAUUAAAAAGAGACUGUAGGAGUCCACAAAGGGCGCUUUUUCCCCCUGGCUGGUGACCCACAGCACCCCAUUGCCUGGAAGCCCCCCACCUCUUCUGUGCUCUCCCUAACUCUCAGAUCAUCAGUCUUGAAACUUCCUGGGACAUUUGGGUUGUUAAUGAGUCUUCCCUGUGACCAGUCUUAAUUUGUGUCUUAAUCAAGAAGCCAAGCAAAUGCAGGCUGAUAAAAAGGGGUUCCUACAGCAUAGGCAGUAGUAGACAAAAGGGCUCUGCAGUUCACUUGUGGUCCUGGGUUGCCUUCAACUGGUCCAGCUGUCACUGGCCUCGCAGCCUCACCUCUGCAAUCACACCGUCUGGCAUGUGGCCCUAUCUCCUGGGCCUAUCCAGGCAACUAGGGUGAGAAAUCCUGGAUCUCACCCCUUCCUCCUCUGUAGCCAGGCCCUAAGAUUUGUCCUCCCUGCUCUAUGGGUUUGGCUUUGGGGCCCGAGUUAAUGAGGUGGAAGAUUACAGGUGUAGGACAUUAGCCUGGUGGUAGGAAGGCAAUGGAAGCAAGAGUACUCUUCCUUGUAGAUUCAUUUCCUGGUACAUAUUUUCAUGACUGGGCCAAUGCGUUCUUCCCAUUUCUCUGGAACCUGUAGUCUCCUGUUGAUAUACAUCUAAGGAAAAAUUCCCACUGUCUCUCACCCAGGAAGAUUGGAUGUACUGGACCUUGGAUACAGGUGUCUUCUGUGCCAUGGGGCUCCUUGCUCAGGUGUGGGGCUAGACCUAUAUAUAUCUGCCUUGGAGAGAGACUUCUGCUUGGGACACUCACUGUAUGAUGUAAGCAGGUUAUUAUUCCCCCCAUUCUCCUGACUUCUAAGGGAAGUAUUGCCUUCUUUGAAGAGAAACUAGGAAGUUUCUUCUCAGAUGAAGCUAUGGGACUGCGCAGGAGGCCUGGGCCCUCUAACCCCCUUCCUGCUCAUUUAUUUUGAAACCCAAAUAACUUUACAGAAUGAUCUGAAACAACAAAGGUGAUGUGAAGUGCCAGAAUGACAUAUUACUUUAUUACUAACGAGAAAGAACCCAGGUCCAUGGAUACCUUAGGAACAGAAUGUUGACCUUAAAACACCUGCUCGGAGCCUGGCCCAGCCCAGAACGCAACGUGAGCCCUGGCCUGCCAAUCCUAUCCACUGGCUCACCACCAGCAGAGCUUUGCAGAAGAGAACUGCCUCCAAGAACUGCUUCAGUCCUCACAUCAUACAGAAGGUCACAUGCCAGAAGGUCACAGCUGUAUGAGAACAGACCGCAUAGCAGAAUCCAGCACCUCUCCCCAGCCCACUGGCCUUUGCCUGCUCACCAAGGCUGUGCCCUCUGUCCUUUGGUGAAGGAGUGGAGUUUGAUCCCUUACCGCCAACGGAAGUAAGGUACACUUCAUCGGUCAAGUAUGACUCGGAGCGGCACUUCAUUGAUGAUGUCCACCUGCCCCUGGGCCUGGCAGUGGCCUCCUGUAGCUACACCGUCACCUGCCUCCCCAACUGCACCUGGCGCAACUACAAGGCAGAGGUGCACUUCAAGCCCUGCCACAAGCCCACCCGCUUCCUCAGCACCACCAUCGUCUACCCCAAGUACCCCAAGACCGUCUACACGACCACCCUGGAUUACAACUGCCGCAAGACGCUGAGGAGGUUCCUGUCCAGCGUGGAGCUCGAAGCCACAGAGCUCCCAGGCAGCGAUGGCCUCCCAGAUGAGUGCUGACGUGAGCCUGUGUGGGGUUGGACCAGCUCUUCUGCUGCCCUCCAUGGCCUUCGUGCCCCAGAGGAGUCUGACCUAGCCAUACCUCUAAGCCUGGCCUGGGGAAGGAGAAAAUGUCAUGGCAUCUUACAAUCAUUGAGACGAUUUGGUUUUUUAAAACGUUCAAAUUAUUUUCAAAAUAUUUCCAGUUUGCUGCUGUGCAGCUUCCCCCAAAGUCUCAAUUCGAUGAGCAAAUAGAAAGCCAACUGGAGCAAAAGAAAAAUGGGCCCAGUUUGAAAUAGGGAGGGAAGAGAGGGCUCUUCUUCCAUUGCUCAGUCAGCCUGUUAGCCCGAGGAAGAGUGUGGAGAAAGUGUCCGGGAUGGAAAAAGUGAGUUUUAAGAACUUUCAGCCCAGGAUGUCUUCACUGACAGCGGUGCUGGUUCUGUGAGCUGACAUCCAGAUGGGUCCCAUCUGUGGAGAGCUGAGUUCCAUUCCCUAGUUUAUUCCCAUUUGUACUUCCUGUAUCACCAAAACUCUUGGGAUUCUCCAAACCCUUUUCGUAUCAAAAAACCCCAAACCACAAUAUAAAAUAAAGAUACCUCUUUAAAAAAGAAAGGAUGAAAAGGUUCAUCCUGUUCUCACCUCUCUUCAGGGGAGUCAGGUCCACCAGGGGCCAGUUUGACAGCAAUGGCUUCAGUUCUGGUUCCUUCGCCUGGGUGGCUCCGAGUGUGGGCUCUGGCAAAGCGCUUUGAACCCUUGGCAUCUGGUAAUGUCUCCACAGGCUUGUGUAACUCUCCUGGUAUGUAUUUUGGGGUUUCCAAAUACUUGCCUAUUUUUCUCAUAAGGCAAAAUGUAGCGGAGAGAAACAGCAUUUUGAGAGAAUGCUUAGGGAAACCACUUUUGGGGACUCCCUGAGGGGGCUUCACUCCCAGUGGGAAGGGCCGGCCACACCCAGGACUGCAUGGCCUCUGAGAGAGGCAGAUGGAGAUGUUUCUGGUGAUCUGUUUCAUCUGGAUGAGUCUCCUCUCCAGGGACCCUGGAUCAACUUCCAUGGAAUCCUGCCCCUGACUUUAGUCUAAGCCCAAAGGCUUUCCCUCCAGGUGAAAGAAAGGCCGGGAUUGCUGUCAGGAGUCAAACUCCCACACCUGGGCGCUGUGGUGAUGGCGCACAUUUCUUGUAAGUGCUUACUGUAAUGGCAGUGACAAUCAGGGCGUGAGGUGCAAAUGGACAACACUUUGUGAGUUCAGCUGAGUCGGCCUCAGAAGUAGAAAGGGGGGCGCCUGGGGGGCUCAGCGGCUGAGCGGCUGCCUUUGGCUCAGGACAUGAUCCCAGGGUCCAGGAUUAAGUCCCGCAUUGGGCUCCCUGCAUGGAGCCUGUGUCAUCCUCUGCCUGUGCCUCUCUCUGUGUCUCUCAUGAAUAAAGAAAUAAAAUCUUUAAAAAAAAAAAAAAAAGGCAGCAGAAAGGGCUGCUGGGCCAGGGGGUGUGGUGGGCCAGACUGUUUCUGGCUUUAGCCCCCUGCUCACCCUGCCUCCCCACCAGCCCAUACUUCCUCCUCCUGCCAAUCCCCGAGGUUUUUGAGUGAAGAAAGGGGCAGGUGGCUUUUUCUCUUUCAAUAUUGGAAAGAACAAUCGCGAAUAUUUUCUUUGAAUACAUCCAAAUUAUAUCACGUGCUCAAGGGCUGUAGAGUUUUAUAAGCCCGGAUUCCCGCUGUAUUUUUGGGUUUCUUUUGAUGGCUUCCAUGUAUCCUGAAAGCAGAAUCGAUAGCUCUGUGGGUACCCUGGAGCCACAGUGGGGACUUUUGUUCUGAGGAGAGCAGGUGUGAUUAUCAUCGCUCUCAUUUAGAGUCAUUGGAAACCUCUAGAACCAAACCGUCUGGUGUCCUCUUCAGCUUUAACAGUGUUUAGUCUGUCAUACUCUCGUUUGGAUGCAUCUCUGGGUGGAUCCUGCUGUUGGGUCCAUGGUCCUGAGUUUGCCGUAGUAAAGCUCAGCAGGGACUGGUAAAGAGGGCACCCUGGGACUCCGUGAUCACCUUCAUCACUCAGAGUGACAAACGCUAUCUGCCUCUGGAAGAGUCCAUUACGUGGCAUUUCUUGAUAAAAAUGGGUUUUUCUCUCUGAUUUCAUAAUCUUCUCAUUCAAGACAAGUGGUAAAUGUAAUUUUUAAAUUGUGUUAAGAGAGUUCCCAAGGCUUUAUUCUGGCCCAACGGGAACACUUCAAUGAGCUCAGAACAAUAUUGUGGGCAGCACGACAGGAGAGAUAUAUGGGAAACCAUGGCCUUUGUACACAGCUAUGUUUUGAGAUAUCCACGUGAGACUUUGUUUUUUGUUUUGGGGGUUGGAUUAGGUUCGGACAAAGCAUUCUAGGUGUGGAGAGAAUCUGAAAUAUACCAGUAAAGUAAGUAGAAGUGAGCAAUUGUGAAUGUGUAAUGUGAAUGGAAAAGCAGGUUUUAUCUUAAGUUAUUCACUAGGGAACUAACUGUAGUUCCUUCUAAUCCUUUCUUUUCCUUCAAACCUGCUUUGCUGCAAGUUACAGGAAAGAAGCAUAAGCAUAAGAAGACAUAAUGGGACACUUCAGGGUGGAUCAAGUGACAUUGAUCAUUGCUGGACUUAGGUUCAUUUACAAAGUGGAAGCCAUGAUUUUUAAAACUCCUUAUAAAUCUCCUUAAAACCAAACAUUCCUAAGCAUAUCUGAGAGAUACAGUUUACUAAAGUCUUUUUUUUUUUCAGUCUUAUAGGUUUCAUGUAAGAAGGAUGAUUUGUAUUUUCAGAGAAAAGUUGUUUUCUUUACAAAUUCAAAUCUUUUGAAAAGAACGAUUACAUUUUCACUUGAUUCUUUUCUUGUUUCUAACCUUAGGAAAUCCAGAAUAGUAUUUGACAAAAACAUUUUUAAAAUUUAUCUUUGACACCUGUCCCCAUUCCAUUUUGCUUUGUGACUUCCUCUCACUUCACAAUAAAUUAUCUUUAAAGAAACAAAA
Molecule: RNA transcript, 7317 nt
Organism: Canis lupus familiaris (dog)
Lineage: Eukaryota; Metazoa; Chordata; Mammalia; Carnivora; Canidae
Gene: VPS53
Gene name: VPS53 subunit of GARP complex
Exons: 24
Source: RefSeq, a predicted model, not a curated record